Molecule: ribosomal RNA, 377 nt
Filed under: uncultured eukaryote
Lineage: Eukaryota
Description: partial 18S ribosomal RNA
Rfam family: Eukaryotic small subunit ribosomal RNA
Source: RNAcentral
CAAUAGCGUAUAUUUAAGUUGCUGCAGUUAAAAAGCUCGUAGUUGGAUUUCGGGUGGGAAUGGCCGGUCCGCCGUUUCGGUGUGCACUUGCUACGCCCACCUUGCUGCCGGGGACGUGCUCUUGUGUUCACGCUCGGGACACGGAGUCGGCGAGGUUACUUUGAGUAAAUUAGAGUGUUCAAAGCAGGCCUACGCUCUGAAUACAUUAGCAUGGAAUAACACGAUAGGACUCUGGCCUAUCUUGUUGGUCUGUAGGACCGGAGUAAUGAUUAAGAGGGACAGUCGGGGGCAUUCGUAUUUCAUUGUCAGAGGUGAAAUUCUUGGAUUUAUGAAAGACGAACUACUGCGAAAGCAUUUGCCAAGGAUGUUUUCAUUAA